UCUCCGUUGGUGAACCAGCGGAGGGAUCAUUACAGGACUGGCAAGACUCCUACAACUCUGUUCACUCCACUUUAAGCACGUUGCUACCGCGGGUGUCGCGGAGGGGGUUGCCCCCCCCCGAGACGCUCACCCCGCCGGCAGUCUACUAUACUCUGUCUCCUUACGUCGGCAUCGCGAGAACAAUCAAACAAGUUAAAACUUUCAACAACGGAUCUCUUGGUUCUG
RNAcentral lists this unclassified non-coding RNA (225 nucleotides) under plant metagenome. Its description in RNAcentral is "partial contains small subunit ribosomal RNA, internal transcribed spacer 1, and 5.8S ribosomal RNA". The record is from RNAcentral.